This 511-nucleotide ribosomal RNA is filed under the name [Sporobolomyces] sp. 'nakasei'. RNAcentral's name for it is "LSU rRNA". It matches the Rfam family "Eukaryotic large subunit ribosomal RNA", at positions 63 to 603 of the family's 3401-position model. Lineage: Eukaryota; Fungi; Basidiomycota; Microbotryomycetes; Sporidiobolales; Sporidiobolaceae. The record is from RNAcentral.
AACUAACAAGGAUUCCCCUAGUAGCGGCGAGCGAAGCGGGAAAAGCUCAAAUUUGUAAUCUGGCGUCUUCGACGUCCGAGUUGUAAUCUCGAGAAGUGUUUUCCGUGAUAGACCGCAUACAAGUCUCUUGGAACAGAGCGUCAUAGUGGUGAGAACCCAGUACACGAUGCGGAUGCCUAUUACUUUGUGAUACACUUUCGAAGAGUCGAGUUGUUUGGGAAUGCAGCUCAAAUUGGGUGGUAAAUUCCAUCUAAAGCUAAAUAUUGGCGAGAGACCGAUAGCGAACAAGUACCGUGAGGGAAAGAUGAAAAGCACUUUGGAAAGAGAGUUAACAGUACGUGAAAUUGUUGGAAGGGAAACACAUGCAGUGAUACUUGCUAUUCGGGGCAACUCGAUUGGCAGGCCCGCAUCAGUUUUCCGGGGCGGAAAAGCAUAGAGAGAAGGUAGCAGUUUCGGCUGUGUUAUAGCUCUUUAUUGGAUUCGCCCUGGGGGAUUGAGGAACGCAGCGUGC